CCUACGGGAGGCAGCAGUGAGGAAUAUUGGUCAAUGGGCGCAAGCCUGAACCAGCCAAGUCGCGUGAGGGAUGACGGUCCUAUGGAUUGUAAACCUCUUUUGUCGGGGAGCAAGGCCCGCCACGUGUGGCGGGAAGGAGAGUACCCGAAGAAAAAGCAUCGGCUAACUCCGUGCCAGCAGCCGCGGUAAUACAGAGGAUGCGAGCGUGAUCCGGAUGUAAUGGUUUUAAAGGGUGCGUAAGCGGAAGGGUUAGUCAGCGGUCAAAUGUCGGUGCUCAACACCGGCCUGCCGUUGAAACUGGUCUGCUUGAGUGAGCGAGAAGUAUGCGGAAUGCGUGGUGUAGCGGUGAAAUGCAUAGAUAUCACGCAGAACUCCGAUUGCGAAGGCAGCAUACCGGCGCUCAACUGACGCUGAGGCACGAAAGCGUGGGGAUCGAACAGGAUUAGAUACCCUAGUAGUC
RNAcentral lists this ribosomal RNA (460 nucleotides) under uncultured bacterium. RNAcentral describes it as "partial 16S ribosomal RNA". It matches the Rfam family "Bacterial small subunit ribosomal RNA", at positions 338 to 795 of the family's 1533-position model. The record is from RNAcentral.